Molecule: transfer RNA, 71 nt
Filed under: Cavia porcellus (domestic guinea pig)
Lineage: Eukaryota; Metazoa; Chordata; Mammalia; Rodentia; Caviidae
Rfam family: tRNA
About the family: Transfer RNA (tRNA) molecules are approximately 80 nucleotides in length. Their secondary structure includes four short double-helical elements and three loops (D, anti-codon, and T loops). Further hydrogen bonds mediate the characteristic L-shaped molecular structure. tRNAs have two regions of fundamental functional importance: the anti-codon, which is responsible for specific mRNA codon recognition, and the 3' end, to which the tRNAs corresponding amino acid is attached (by aminoacyl-tRNA synthetases). tRNAs cope with the degeneracy of the genetic code in two manners: having more than one tRNA (with a specific anti-codon) for a particular amino acid; and 'wobble' base-pairing, i.e. permitting non-standard base-pairing at the 3rd anti-codon position.
Source: Rfam by way of RNAcentral
UGGGAUUUAGCUCAGCGGCAUAAGCGCCUGCCUUGCAAGCAGGCAGUUGUGAGUUCGAUCCCCAGUACCAA